Leptonychotes weddellii (Weddell seal) is the source of this 309-nucleotide non-coding RNA. The record is from RefSeq and is a predicted model, not a curated record. NCBI's taxonomy places the organism in Eukaryota, Metazoa, Chordata, Mammalia, Carnivora, Phocidae.
GAUGGCUGUGUUCCAGAUAUUAACAUUAUCAGAAGCCUGACCUCUGCAUGAUGCUGAGGAGGCUGAGGAACCCCAGCCAGGCCUUGCUGUGGUGCCUUCUAGACCUUGGACGGGAGAAAAGUAUUGCUACCUUCAGGUUUUUGGCACAUCCUCCGAGACUCAGAUGAGACCAUGAUGGCCUCCCCAAGGGGCAGGUGCUGAUACCUCUCCCGAGUCCCUGCCACUCUUCAUCCUGACGCCAUUCCCAAUCUCAGUAUCUAAAUGCCACAGUGCUCUUCGGGCAAAUUGGGUUGGGAACCACUGUUGCCU